AGCUUUGCGUAGUGGCAGUAUCGUAGCUAAUGAGGUUUAAUCUGAGGUGCGAUUAUUGCUAAUUGAAGACUAGUGGUCUCUCUAUUCAACCCAUUUGCCUUGGCCAAUCUGGUGAAGC
Molecule: small nuclear RNA, 118 nt
Filed under: Canis lupus dingo (dingo)
Lineage: Eukaryota; Metazoa; Chordata; Mammalia; Carnivora; Canidae
Description: U4 spliceosomal RNA (ENSCAFG00020005509.1)
Rfam family: U4 spliceosomal RNA (bases 1-75)
About the family: U4 small nuclear RNA (U4 snRNA) is a component of the major U2-dependent spliceosome. The structure of U4 snRNA from yeast and human has been reported.
Source: RNAcentral